GCGUUGUUCGGAUUUACUGGGCGUAAAGGGCGCGUAGGCGGCGUGGUAAGUCACUUGUGAAAUCUCUGAGCUUAACUCAGAACGGCCAAGUGAUACUGCUGUGCUAGAGUGCGGAAGGGGCAAUCGGAAUUCUUGGUGUAGCGGUGAAAUGCGUAGAUAUCAAGAGGAACGCCUGAGGUGAAGACGGGUUGCUGGGUCGCCACUGACGCUGAGGCGCGAAAGCCAG
RNAcentral lists this ribosomal RNA (226 nucleotides) under uncultured bacterium. Its description in RNAcentral is "partial 16S ribosomal RNA". It matches the Rfam family "Bacterial small subunit ribosomal RNA", at positions 538 to 763 of the family's 1533-position model. The record is from RNAcentral.